AACGUAGGAGACAAACGUUAUCCGGAGUUACUGGGCGUAAAGGGCGCGUAGGCGGAUAGUUUAGUCAGAGGUGAAAGCCCAGGGCUCAACCUUGGAAUUGCCUUUGAUACUGGCUAUCUUGAGUUCGGGAGAGGUGAGUGGAAUGCCGAGUGUAGAGGUGAAAUUCGUAGAUAUUCGGCGGAACACCAGUGGCGAAGGCGACUCACUGGCCCGAUACUGACGCUGAGGCGCGAAAGCGUGGGGAGCAAACAGG
This 253-nucleotide ribosomal RNA is filed under the name uncultured bacterium. Its description in RNAcentral is "partial 16S ribosomal RNA". It matches the Rfam family "Bacterial small subunit ribosomal RNA", at positions 524 to 776 of the family's 1533-position model. The record is from RNAcentral.